This 71-nucleotide transfer RNA is filed under the name Psophia crepitans (common trumpeter). Its description in RNAcentral is "tRNA-Phe". It matches the Rfam family "tRNA". From Rfam's summary of the family: Transfer RNA (tRNA) molecules are approximately 80 nucleotides in length. Their secondary structure includes four short double-helical elements and three loops (D, anti-codon, and T loops). The record is from RNAcentral. Lineage: Eukaryota; Metazoa; Chordata; Aves; Gruiformes; Psophiidae.
GUCCUUGUAGCUUAAACUCAGCAAAGCAUGGCACUGAAGAUGCCAAGAUGGUCACCCAACACCCCAGGACA